This 1123-nucleotide long non-coding RNA is filed under the name Cotesia glomerata. RNAcentral describes it as "uncharacterized LOC123270946, transcript variant X2". Lineage: Eukaryota; Metazoa; Arthropoda; Insecta; Hymenoptera; Braconidae. The record is from RNAcentral.
GAAUUUCAAAAGAAUGUGCGCUGUUAAAUUAAAUAAAAUAUUUUUUUGUCCAUUAUCCAUUACAUACAUUAGAAUGAAUGCUUCUGUUGUAUUAUAAAUCUCCGAUACGGGUAGUAUAUAAUACAUAGAUGUUGUUAAGUGUAGUAUAGAGUGUCUACUUUAACAUGUAGGCGUUUAGGUGUGUGUGACUCACAAAAGUAAUAUUACAGUAUAUAAAUAUGAUAUAUAAUACAAACUACCACACACUAAACAGUAGUAACAAGCAAUGAGCGCAAAACAAAUUGAGACGGAUAAGACGACGAGAGAAUAUUAUAAGUGGCUAUAAGCUCUUGUGUUAUGUGACUGAAUAUUGUGGUAUUAAUAAACAGUAAUGUAAUGCAAUCCAUAUCUUGUUUGUUUAUAUUUAAACUCAAUAUUUAGCACUUAAUAUUCGAUAAAUCUGAAAAAUCAUCGUAUCAAUUAUUUUAGAUGUUUUUAUGGCGGUUAAAUUGCAACAUUUUUGCAGCUGUCUGAAUGUAGAUACACUCAACUCUGUAAAUUUAAAUAUUUUCCGCUGAGGGAACAUACCCAUAGGACGUUUCCGGUUGCAAAGGCCCUACACUAGUAAAAAGUUCCUGGAAGUGCAAAGCGGUCUCUUUUUAAAAUGUUCCAUUGUGCUGAAAGGCCAGAGAAAAAAGGGACAUCACAUGUAUGUAAUGUCAGAGAGAAUUCAAGCACAGCACAGCGAGACUAUAAAGAGCAAAGAAGUUGGCAACAGGAUUAAAGAGUGAAAGACCGGGAUGAAUUUUCCACGUGUGUGUGGUGAGUGCCAGGAGCAGUGAGUUGUUCUCACUCCAGACACGUUAUAUUUUCAGUAUGUACGGCAGAUUGUAACAUUAAAGACGCUUAUCAAGAUGGACGGGUUUGUAAUGGAACGAUCGUAAGUUUUAUCUUGAGCGUGAGAUUUUCAACCUCUCACCAGAAUAUUAAUGCUUAUUCUCAUUUAUAAUUUAUAAAAAUAUGUUAUAAACUAUCAAUCACUGAGCUUCAGUUCAAAUUUAUUUGUCUUUUUGUUUAAGAAUUUUUUAACUUCAAAAAAAUGUAUUUAUAUUUUUCAAAAUUGGAAAUGAACACUGCUAAAAUA